RNAcentral lists this unclassified non-coding RNA (435 nucleotides) under Hevea brasiliensis (rubber tree). The record is from RNAcentral. Lineage: Eukaryota; Viridiplantae; Streptophyta; Magnoliopsida; Malpighiales; Euphorbiaceae.
AUGACAUAAAAAGUUAAAUCCAAUUCAAUCAUAUGGAACUCAAAGCUCCAAUAAAUCUUCAUUUGAGGUUCAAUUCAAGUAAAAACAGAAACAAGUACCUGAACGAUACCAAAUUCUGAAAUUAUUUAGCUUAUUGAGCAUAACACUAAUGUGAAAAUGGUGAAGUUUCACUAACGUCCAAAUUUAUGGACUCGGGAUUAACCGGAUAGAGAUCAUAAGCAGAUACAGUGGAAGAUCCAAUCCCUGUAUUGUCUGAUGAAAAAAUUGGUGCCUGGCUUGUGCUUGUACCGUCGCUUGACGUCUGCUGGUAAUGAUCCUUGAGGGGUUUAAGUCGCAUGUCAUCAGCAUAAAUGCCAGGAUCUGAUACCACUUCCUCAAUUCUUGUUUGUCCUUCAAGCAUACUCAGAGCGACUGACAUUGUAGGCCUUAUCAUUG